Small nucleolar RNA from Salvia miltiorrhiza (redroot sage), 135 nucleotides. RefSeq annotates it as small nucleolar RNA Z247. The transcript has a single exon. Lineage: Eukaryota; Viridiplantae; Streptophyta; Magnoliopsida; Lamiales; Lamiaceae. The record is from RefSeq and is a predicted model, not a curated record.
UAACCGAAGAUGACCAGAUUAUGCAUACCCUUGCAGGUCUUGGUCCCGAGUAUGACUCAGUAAUGGUGACCAUUACAUCUAAACCUGAAGUCUGGAGUCUCGGUGAUGUCAGCUCUCUUUUGUUGAGUUUUGAGA